CCUACGGGUGGCAGCAGUGGGGAAUAUUGCACAAUGGGGGAAACCCUGAUGCAGCGACGCCGCGUGAGUGAUGAAGUAAUUCGGUAUGUAAAGCUCUAUCAGUAGGGAAGAAAAUGACGGUACCUGAGUAAGAAGCCCCGGCUAACUACGUGCCAGCAGCCGCGGUAAUACGUAGGGGGCAAGCGUUAGCCGGAUUUACUGGGUGUAAAGGGAGCGUAGGCGGCAGUGCAAGUCUGGAGUGAAAGGCUAGGGCUCAACCCCAGGACUGCAUUGGAAACUGUAAGUCUGGAGUGCGGGAGAGGUAUGGGGAAUGCGUGGUGUAGCGGUGAAAUGCGUAGAUAUCAGGAGGAACACCGAUGGCGAAGGCGGCUUACUGG
This 377-nucleotide ribosomal RNA is filed under the name uncultured bacterium. RNAcentral describes it as "partial 16S ribosomal RNA". It matches the Rfam family "Bacterial small subunit ribosomal RNA", at positions 338 to 732 of the family's 1533-position model. The record is from RNAcentral.